GAUGAACGCUGGCGGCGUGCUUAACACAUGCAAGUCGAACGGAAAGGCCCAGCUUUUGUUGGGUGCUCGAGUGGCGAACGGGUGAGUAACACGUGGGUAAUCUGCCCUUGACUUCGGGAUAACCCUAGGAAACUGGGGCUAAUACCGGAUAGGAGCUCUUGCUGCAUGGUGUGGGUUGGAGAGUUUUGGCGGUUGGGGAAGGACUCGCGGCUUAUCCGCUUGUUGGUGGGGUAGGGGCUUACCAAGGCUUUGACGGGUAGCCGGCCUGAGAGGGUGACCGGCCACAUUGGGACUGAGAUACGGCCCAGACUCCUACGGGAGGCAGCAGUGGGGAUUAUUGCACAAGGGGCGGAAGCCUGAUGCAGCAACGCCGCGUGCGGGAUGACGGCCUUCGGGUUGUAAACCGCUUUCGCCGGUGACGAGGCGUGAGUGACGGUAAUGGGUAAAGAAGCACCGGCUAACUACGUG
RNAcentral lists this ribosomal RNA (468 nucleotides) under uncultured bacterium. RNAcentral describes it as "partial 16S ribosomal RNA". It matches the Rfam family "Bacterial small subunit ribosomal RNA", at positions 28 to 507 of the family's 1533-position model. The record is from RNAcentral.